This 840-nucleotide ribosomal RNA is filed under the name Xanthoparmelia lineola. Its description in RNAcentral is "eukaryotic LSU rRNA". It matches the Rfam family "Eukaryotic large subunit ribosomal RNA", at positions 81 to 936 of the family's 3401-position model. Lineage: Eukaryota; Fungi; Ascomycota; Lecanoromycetes; Lecanorales; Parmeliaceae. The record is from RNAcentral.
UAGUAACGGCGAGUGAAGCGGCAACAGCUCAAAUUUGAAAUCUGGCUCCUUCGGGGUCCGAGUUGUAAUUUGUAGAGAGUGCUUCGGGCGAGACCUCGGUCUAAGUCCAUUGGAACAUGGUGUCAUAGAGGGUGAGAAUCCCGUAUGCGACCGUGGCUCGAGCCCAUGUGAAGCCUCUUCGACGAGUCGAGUUGUUUGGGAAUGCAGCUCAAAACGGGUGGUAAAUUUCAUCUAAAGCUAAAUACUGGCUGGAGACCGAUAGCGCACAAGUAGAGUGAUCGAAAGAUGAAAAGCACUUUGGAAAGAGAGUCAAACAGUACGUGAAAUUGUUGAAAGGGAAGCGCUUGCAACCAGACCUGCCCGUAGGCGAUCAGCCGCUGUUCUCAGCGGUGCACUCGCUCUGCGAUCAGGCCAGCAUCGGUUUCGGCGGUCGGAUAAAGGCCUUGGGAAUGUAGCUUCCCUUCGGGGGAGUCUUAUAGCCCUCGGUGCAAUGCGGCCAGCCGGGACCGAGGACCGCGCUUCGGCUAGGAUGCUGGCGUAAUGGUUGUAAGCGACCCGUCUUGAAACACGGACCAAGGAGUCUAACAUCUAUGCGAGUGUUUGGGUGUCAAACCCAUACGCGGAAUGAAAGUGAACGGAGGUGAGAACCCUUAAGGGCGCAUCAUCGACCGAUCCAGAUGUCUUCGGAUGGAUUUGAGUAUGAGCAUAGCUGUUGGGACCCGAAAGAUGGUGAACUAUGCCUGAAUAGGGUGAAGCCAGAGGAAACUCUGGUGGAGGCUCGCAGCGGUUCUGACGUGCAAAUCGAUCGUCAAAUUUGGGUAUAGGGGCGAAAGACUAAUC